CAAACGACUCUCGCCAACGGAUAUCUCGGCUCACGCAUCGAUGAAGAACGUACCAAAAUGCGAUACCUUGGUGUGAAUUGCAGAAUCCCGGGAACCAUCGAGUUUUUGAACGCAAGUUGCGCCCGAAGCCAAUUUGGUUGAGGGCACGUCAUGCCUGGGCGUCACGCA
Molecule: ribosomal RNA, 168 nt
Filed under: Pithocarpa ramosa
Lineage: Eukaryota; Viridiplantae; Streptophyta; Magnoliopsida; Asterales; Asteraceae
Description: 5.8S ribosomal RNA
Rfam family: 5.8S ribosomal RNA
About the family: 5.8S ribosomal RNA (5.8S rRNA) is a component of the large subunit of the eukaryotic ribosome. It is transcribed by RNA polymerase I as part of the 45S precursor that also contains 18S and 28S rRNA.
Source: RNAcentral